Rhea pennata is the source of this 570-nucleotide long non-coding RNA. RefSeq lists it as uncharacterized. The record is from RefSeq and is a predicted model, not a curated record. NCBI's taxonomy places the organism in Eukaryota, Metazoa, Chordata, Aves, Rheiformes, Rheidae. The transcript is spliced from 3 exons.
UCUGGCACUGGGAAGGCGGCGUUUCGGCUCCUGGGACAGGGGCUCCGCGGCAGGUCACCGGGUCUGGCUGGGCGGCCUGCAAUGCCGCACUGCAAAUUUGCAACGCCCUCUGCCGUCACCCUUUGAAAUAAGAACGACCCUCCGAGGAUGGUGCUUGCAUGCUUGAAGCCGGGUUGCUAAUACGCCAAAAUGACAUUGGAGGGCAGCGCAUCUCAACCUAAGCGGAGACCUUUGGCGUGGCAAGCGGUGGCUGCAGCGGUGGCAACCAUCCGCAUGGCCCUGGGGAUCAGGAGAGCAGAGCGGUUCCCAUGCACACGGGUGGGGCGAGAGAAAAUACUCGUUGGAUUGUCACUGCCACCUUCACAAUGACCUUCAGUGUGGCCCACAUAGCAAAAUGAAAUACGGAAACGACAUUGCCAGAAGAAAACUCAUCCUGGCUUAGGAGAGUUGGCUCAAGUUUGUUGGAUCCUAAACCAACAUGCUAAUAUAUAAUGCCAUGGUUUUGCUUAACCCGGUUUGCCUUCAGAUCUGCUUCAUGAUUUCUAAAAUACUGUAAUAACUCUAAAAUAA